RNAcentral lists this ribosomal RNA (551 nucleotides) under uncultured bacterium. RNAcentral describes it as "bacterial SSU rRNA". It matches the Rfam family "Bacterial small subunit ribosomal RNA", at positions 777 to 1325 of the family's 1533-position model. The record is from RNAcentral.
AAUAGAUACCCAGGUAGUCCACGCCGUAAACGAUGAGUGCUAAGUGUUAGGGGGUUUCCGCCCCUUAGUGCUGCAGCUAACGCAUUAAGCACUCCGCCUGGGGAGUACGGUCGCAAGACUGAAACUCAAAGGAAUUGACGGGGGCCCGCACAAGCGGUGGAGCAUGUGGUUUAAUUCGAAGCAACGCGAAGAACCUUACCAGGUCUUGACAUCCCAUUGACCACUAUGGAGACAUAGUUUUCCCUUCGGGGACAACGGUGACAGGUGGUGCAUGGUUGUCGUCAGCUCGUGUCGUGAGAUGUUGGGUUAAGUCCCGCAACGAGCGCAACCCUUGUUCUUAGUUGCCAUCAUUUAGUUGGGCACUCUAAGGAGACUGCCGGUGUCAAACCGGAGGAAGGUGGGGAUGACGUCAAAUCAUCAUGCCCCUUAUGACCUGGGCUACACACGUGCUACAAUGGACGGUACAAACGGUUGCCAACCCGCGAGGGGGAGCUAAUCCGAUAAAACCGUUCUCAGUUCGGAUUGUAGGCUGCAACUCGCCUACAUGAACG